Long non-coding RNA from Cydia fagiglandana, 707 nucleotides. RefSeq lists it as uncharacterized. The record is from RefSeq and is a predicted model, not a curated record. The transcript has 2 exons. NCBI's taxonomy places the organism in Eukaryota, Metazoa, Arthropoda, Insecta, Lepidoptera, Tortricidae.
UAUAAUCAUUUUAUUUCCCGAUAAGCCUUAUCGUUUUACACGUCUCAGUACUAAACACUAGCAACUACAUAACCCCUAAAAUGGUCUCUACAUGAAAUAAUAAGAAACUAUAAUGAAACUAAUGAACAUUAGUACAUAUCUAAUAAAAAUAAUGAAUUUAGGGAAUCUCUUUACAAUAUUGGUAUUGCUAUAAAGGCCACAAUUAAUUGACAAAAUACUUUUUUUUCAAACGUUAGCAGUUUAGAAGAAUAUUCGACAAUUUUAAUAGUAAAAUGGAAGCCAUUUCCGGACGGUGCAGAUUUCAAUCUUCUUGAUGGGGCUGACUUGUUGUUCUGAAUAUUGCAAACAACGAUCGAAGAAAAACAAAACGCAGCCUUACGGCGUCAUGUUGGUAAUACAGCGCGUACUUAAUUUUCCGACUUGUAAUUAUUUUUUGCUUGACGGCCAGUACGUUUUGUUUACUGAUCUUUUCCUACUUGUAGUCGAUGUUCUUUUUUCUUGAUGGCCAGCGUGUUGAGACUUGUGACCAGAUGUUUUUUUUCUAAACGGCCAGUGUGUUUACUGUCCAGCGGAUAGCUGCACGAUCUUGUUGUUAACAGCCAGGACUUCAGCCAUGUACUCCUCGUCGGUGACGACGGUGGCAAGUCGUUUGAGGAUGGAGAGGAGCUCGCCGUCCUUGAGACGGAGCUGCUCGUUGCACUGGUCUA